UACGUAGGGUGCGAGCGUUGUCCGGAAUUAUUGGGCGUAAAGGGCUCGUAGGCGGUUUGUCGCGUCGGGAGUGAAAACUCAGGGCUCAACCCUGAGCGUGCUUCCGAUACGGGCAGACUAGAGGUAUUCAGGGGAGAACGGAAUUCCUGGUGUAGCGGUGGAAUGCGCAGAUAUCAGGAAGAACACCCGUGGCGAAGGCGGUUCUCUGGGACGGUACUGACGCUGAGACGCGAAAGCGUGGGGAGCGAACAGG
This 253-nucleotide ribosomal RNA is filed under the name uncultured bacterium. RNAcentral describes it as "partial 16S ribosomal RNA". It matches the Rfam family "Bacterial small subunit ribosomal RNA", at positions 524 to 776 of the family's 1533-position model. The record is from RNAcentral.